Non-coding RNA from Cordylochernes scorpioides, 5665 nucleotides. The record is from the annotation of a GenBank genome assembly. Lineage: Eukaryota; Metazoa; Arthropoda; Arachnida; Pseudoscorpiones; Chernetidae.
UGGAGCGGAUUUAGUUCAGGUUUCCACCAAGUGGGUUUCUUAAAAAAAAAAUUAUUGGUGGCAGGUUUAGAGGGAAUGGUUUGUAGACAUGAGUGAAACACCUCGUCUUUUAGUAAAUUAAUUACUUCAUCGACUUGAGUUGUGUCACUCGCGUCCAUUAAGGAUGAAAUUCUAAAAAAAAAAAAAAUUUAAGUUUGAAAAAAAAAAUUCCCAGUCGGCGCGACCAAAGCUGAAGUUUACUUCGCUAAAGUUGUUUACAUGUAUGUUACUAUUGUUGUUAGAAGAGAGGGGUUCUAAAUUAACGUUAAACACGAGGCGUUUAUGGUCAGAUAAAGCCUGGUUUAUAGCAUCCCAAUCGGUGACCUUGUCCGCGAGGCCGGCAGAACAACACGUGACGUCGAUGGAGGAAGAUUUAUCCCCCUCCUCCCUCGUGACCGUGUUUGUUGACGACGUGGAGCAAGUUUGUGUCUAUGAAGUUUUCGACAUUUUCUCUUUUCGAGCAUUUGUAUUUAAGCAACCGCGCUUUAUUUGACCAUCUAUAUGAUUCAAUAUUAAGGUCGCCGCAAAAAAUCACCUCGUGGAAAUUAAUUGUUUUUAAAGAGUUGUCUAUCCUAUCAAGAAGAGCGUCGGAACAACAUGAUGGUGAAAGAUAGACAGUACACAGAAGGAUUGUCAAGUCAUUCACUUCGCACAGGACAAAUACAGCAUUCACACAAGACAAGUGAGAUAAAUGUAAAAAUUUUAAAUUCGGAUUUGCUAUUAUUACAGCCGCUCCCAAUUUAUUUUCAAUAAUAGGACCGUGGCAAACCCUGUCAAGGGGCACUGGAAAUGAAGGUAAGUUGUUUUUAGAAACUGGGAGUUCUUGCAAUAAUAGCACAUCCGAUUUUUCCUCGCGACAUUCAUUCAACAAGGAGUACAAACAAUAUGGAGAGCGUCUUACAUUGGCUUGAACACACUUAAGAACGUUCAUUGCACUAAUAAUUUGUUGAAAUUGUCCUGUGCCUUCCGCAUGUGUUUACACGCCAUGGAGUUGGCACUGUGUUUGUCACCACACCUGUGACAUUUCAAAGACGUUUUAUUUUCACAUGUUUCGGAAAGAUGUGCACCAGCGCAGUGGCUGCAUUUAGCCGCCCUAGUGCACCUCUUUCCGUUGGUGUGGGUUUUGUGACUUAGACUGCCACAAACACCACAUGGAAAGACGCGCUUUGCUCUAGCGAGUCUCAGCGAGAGGAAGUUGAUCGUGAUCCUACCACGCUCGAGUAGGACAGUCUCAACAUCCCUGUUAACCUCAAUUAUUGCGGUGGAGUUGGCACCCUCUUUUUAAUUAAUUUCACCAUCCUGAUGAAAUCGCCGCUUUUCAGCAGCGGUACAACAGCGGGAUGGCUACUGAUAUCAGCCACAAGUUGCUCUUCAGUUAUCUCUCCAGGAAUACCAAAGAUGGCAAGCCUGGGCUUGAAUGUAGGGUUUGUUUGGACUUUAAGUCCACCAAUGUUGGCGGACUUAACGUUGUCCACAAACCUCUUUUUCUCAGAGGGGUUGGCGAAGUGGAGGACAAGUUUUUUGUCCCCCCCUGUCACCGCAGCUACAUCACAAUUCUUCAAGCUGGGAGUCUGGGCGAUUCUCGCCCUGAUCUCGCUAACAGAGAGGUCCGCGGAAGCGAGCUUUACGUGAUUAAUGCUGUUACGCAGCAUAUGCGCGUAACUGGGUUUGGAUGGUUUGGCAGGCUUAGCACCUGCAUUGGCUGGCGGGGUGACUUUAGUCACCGUUGGGGUUGGUUUGGGAGGAGGUGUGGGAGCGACGGUAGUUGUUUUUUUCUUUAAGGCUGUUAAUUCAGCCCUGAUUUCUGCGACCUCAAGGUCGCAGCACUUCAGCUUAUGCUGGAGGAUCCCCACAGUAGUGUUUUGGAGAUCGGCGAGCAGACCAUUCAUUUCUCGAAAGAAAAACCUAUUAGCUGGGGAGCCUAGCUCCCCGCUAACCCUUGCCCCAACCUCAUGUAGAAAGAUUUCAUGGAAGCUCUUAAAAGAAGUGUUAAUUUCUUCCCACCCUUCCCUAAACGCUGUGUUGGAGUUAAUGGGAAUAAUGGGAGCAGGAGGAGGAGUGACCCGGGGAAACUCACCCAGAGUAGGGGCAGAAGAAGCGGAGGUAUCCGCCGCCAUAGCUGAUUAAUCCGAUAGAGUAAUCCACGCGAAAGAGAGCAAUCCAAGAGUAAGAGUGAUCCAGGGAUGUGUGCACAGUUUGGUGUCAGGGACGCGAGAGAUUUUUUUUUUUUUGUGAGUAUUCUUCCUAUAUAGAAAUUAUCCUCGUCCGCUGUAAGUCCUCGAGGGACUUUUUCGGACAAAACACCGGACAACACUAGGUGAGCGGCCCGCAACAUCUGGAAGGCUGAAAAAAACUGGCUGGCGAGGAAGGCAGUGAGGGCACCGACAGAGGGAAGUGGAAGCCUGGAUGGAGGCCAAUUGAGGAGGCAGGAGGUCCUGGAAGCCUAGAACUUGAGGGCUCUAAGCUUCAAGGUGGGGCAGCUGGAGGCUCUCGCCUCGUGCUUGAAUGGGAGGCCCUUGGCGCAGCAGUUGGUGCACUUGGAAGUGUGCCGGUCAGCAGCAGAGGGGCAGGAACGGCCUUCGUGGCCACCUUCACCGCAGUGGAAGCACCUGGGAUCUCUGGUGCAUUGGGCAGAGUUGUGGCCAAAGCCACAACAGCGGAAGCAGAUGCGUGCGCGGAUGGACUCCUCGAAGUUGAGGAUCACUCCAUCUACCACGAUCCUCCCGCGGUUGCCCAGAGCUCUGAAGGUGUUGAGGUCCACCUCGAUGAAGGCGGUGCAGGUCCCGUUUCUGGGUGCAGAACGGUGCGCAACGCGCACCACCUUGUCCCCAGGUAGUUGGCUGACAGCGGGAGUCCCCAACAGCGUCUCUUCAAUGGUGGAGUUGGACGUUUCCACCUCCACUUUGAAGAGGCAGAUGCGAGGCAGGAUCACCUUCUGCUGGCGGACCUUCAUUCCCGUUAGCUUGCUGGCCAGGGAGGUUGUCACCUCAGGGAUGAUGUCGGGAUUGCUGGAGUGGAGGACCAGCUUUCCCUUGGUUCUCAGAGAGGCCCAAACGCCUUGGGGUAGAGUGUAAGGCAGCGCGGACAGCCUUGUAGAUCUCCCUUGGGUCAGCCUGUGGGUCAUCGGAGACGACCACUGUGUGGGCCGCCGAUUUCUCACCGUGGAGAACCACUUGGGCAGCCGCAGGCUUGACCACUUGGGCGGCCGCAGGCUUGGAGACGCGGGAAGGCGCAGGUUUUGUUGGACCUUUGAAGUUGGAUCUUUUGGCAGGGGGGUUGGGAGCCUCAGGCUGCUUCCUCUUGGUUGCACCAGGAGCAGGCAGGGUGGAGGCGGGCUUCUUGGCAGGGGGGUCAGCAGGAGAAGGAGUGGCGGGCUCGGUGGGGUCAGUCUGGGAGCUGGUUUCCUUGCAGGAAGAAGCAGGGCAGGUUUGGGUGCCGUGGCAAGCAGUUUUGGGCUUGUUGACCUCCACAACGUCGUCCAGUUCCUCAAAGGACGCAAGGGUGCUGGAGAGGUUCGCAACCUCGGCAGUGAGGGCCUCGAUCUGCUCAUUCCGUAUAUUGAAGUGAUGCGUGAUGAGACCGCCCAGGCUAAUUUGGAUGGUAGGGUGAAUAUCCCGCAUUAGGUCCAUGAGUUGCUGUUUAAAUUCUGCGUUCUUCAGCUCGAGUUGGGCGAGGGUUAACAGAUGGUUCCUGGCGUAUUCGGCAUUCUCAGCAUUCUUCUUUUUCCUCCUAGAGGGGGCCAUGGCAGGAACAGGAGAGCAAAGAUGUUCACAGGUAGAGAGCUGGCGGCAGAAAAAAGUGAGUAUUCUUCCUGUGUUAAAUUUCACUCCCUCCGCUGUAAGCUUUCGGACAAGCUUUUUCGGAGAACAUACACUGACAUCAACAAGGCAAGCGGCCCGCAACAUCUGGAAGGCUGAAAAACUGGCAGGCACGGAAGGCUGUGAGGGCACCGACAGAGAGAAGUGGAUGCCUGGAUGGAGGCCGUUUGAGGAGGCAGGAGGUCCUGGAAGCCUAGAAUUUGAGGGCUCUAAGCUUCAAGGUGGGGCAGCUGGAGGCUCUCGCCUCGUGCUUGUAUGGGAGGCCCUUGGCACAGCAGUUGGUGCACUUGGAAGUGUGCCGUCAGCGGCAGAGGGGCAGGAACGGCCUUCAUGGCUACCUUCACCGCAGUGGAAGCACCUGGGAUCUCUGGUGCAUUGGGCAGAGUUGUGGCCGAAGCCACAACAGCGGAAGCAGAUGCGUGCGCGGAUGGACUCCUCGAAGUUGAGGAUCACUCCAUCUACCACGAUCCUUCCGCGGUUGCCCAGAGCUCUGAAGGUGUUGAGGUCCACCUCGAUGAAGGCGGUGCAGGUCCCGUUUCUGGGUGCAGAACGGUGCGCAACGCGCACCACCUUGUCCCCAGGUAGUUGGCUAACAGCGGGAGUCCCCAACAGCGUCUCUUCAAUGGUGGAGUUGGACGUUUCCACCUCCACUUUGAAGAGGCAGAUGCGAGGCAGGAGCACCUUCUGCUGGCGGACCUUCAUUCCCGUUAGCUUGCUGGCCAGGGAGGUUGUCACCUCAGGGAUGAUGUCGGGAUUGCUGGAGUGGAGGACCAGCUUUCCCUUGGUUCUCAGAGAGGCCCAAACGCCUUGGGGUAGAGUGUGGGCAGCGCGGACAGCCUUGAAGAUCUCCCUAGGGUCGGCCUCUGCAGGAGCACCUUCUGCUGGCGGACCUUCAUUCCCGUUAGCUUGCUGGCCAGGGAGGUUGUCACCUCAGGGAUGAUGUCGGGAUUGCUGGAGUGGAGGACCAGCUUUCCCUUGGUUCUCAGAGAGGCCCAAACGCCUUGGGGUAGAGUGUGGGCAGCGCGGACAGCCUUGAAGAUCUCCCUAGGGUCGGCCUCUGGGUCGUCGGAGACGACCACUGUGUGGGCCGCCGAUUUCUCACCGUGGAGAACCACUCGGGCGGCCGCAGGCUUGACCACUUGGGCGGCCGCAGGCUUGGAGACGCGGGAAGGCGCAGUUGGACCUUUAAAGUUGGAUCUUUUGGCCGGGGGGUUGGGAGCCUCAGGCUGCUUCCUCUUGGCUGCACCAGGAGCAGGCAGGGUGGAGGCGGGCUUCUUGGCGGGGGGGUCAGCAGGAGAAGGAGUGGCGGGCUUGGUGGGGUCAGUCUGGGAGCUGGUUUCCUUGCAGGAAGGAGCAGGGCAGGUUUGCGUGCCGUGGCAGGCAGUUUUGGGCUUGGUGACCUCCGGAAAAUCGUCCAGCUCCGCGAAGGACUCGAGGGUGAACGUGAGGUUCUCUACCUUGGCUUCAAGAGCCUUGAUCAGUUCGGUCCGCGAGGCGAUGAAGCGGAUCAGGUCCUCAUGCAGGGCUUUCAGGGUAGGAUGACGAAAGGGGCUCAGGAUGCUGCAGCUGCUUGCGAUCACCGUCUCGUUCUCCCUCUCCAGGUCGGCGACGUUCACGAUGGGCUUGUAGGCCGUUUUUUUCCUCUUGGCUGGAGGCAUGUCAAGAGCGGGCGAGCAAGGAUUUCCCUAUUUAGCUACCUUGAAAAAAAAAAUCAAGAGAAGCUUUUGACUCCAAGAGUAUCCAGGAAUCCUUACCACUGGUGGGGGGAAUAACUAGACUCGUUGAAGUUAUCGAGAGAACUCUGAGUA